This 1327-nucleotide long non-coding RNA is filed under the name Crocodylus porosus (Australian saltwater crocodile). Its description in RNAcentral is "lncRNA (ENSCPRG00005002721.1)". Lineage: Eukaryota; Metazoa; Chordata; Crocodylia; Crocodylidae. The record is from RNAcentral.
AUGAUGUUCAGCUGGCACAAGACAUUCACCGUUGGAGCUCUGUGGAGAAGAGGCAAGAAGAGCCCUCCCUCUGAGGACAAAGUCGUGCUGACUCACAUGAAGAUGCUAAGCUAUGCAGGGAGUCAGGAUCUGGAGCCUCCUGCAGCUUCAGAUUGUGCAGAAGAAUCCAGGCUUCCCCAAGUCAACAUCCAGGGAAACCUUGAUGUAACAGACACUCCAGCAAAUUCAGAUUACACAGCUACCCUGUCUGAUCUCAGCACCUUGGAGACCCAGUGCCGGCUUCACAGAUUCUCCAAAUUUGAAUCUGAGGACUCUGGGGUUGAGUUGCCAAGUGGGGCUAAUUCUCCAUCCACACCAAAGGGCUCUGAGAAGAGUUUUGUGCUUCACAGUAGAGACUCUUCUUGUGACUCUGGAGUGCUCAGUGCCUCUUCCUCUCCAGAAAUUGACCACAUUAUAAUGAGAGCAUGUCAAGACCCUGGAGAAGCUAAUCCCAACAGGAAUGCUCCAGAGAGCAAAAAUCAAGUGGAGCAGUACAGCCAGGUGAUAGACUCUAUGCAGAUUCCUGCAUCUUCCUUGGAAGAUUUCAGCAAUUGUCAGAAGGGAGAAAGUCCUGAUCAACUUUUUGGCCAAAGCAAAGGGCAGUCUUUAGAAGAGGAACCCAGCAAAGAGACAGACCUCCCCAUUCAUGAUACUCCUCCAACUGUGCCUCCCAUGGAAGAGCAAAAGACUACCACUAGCCAUUACAAAGAGACCUUUGGCAGCAUGCAGGAUCUUCAAAUUCAUGGAAAUCAACUUAAGAAAUAUCCCACGAGUGACAGUCUGGACGAGUACAUGGAUGAGUGCUGUCGAUUAAGUGAGGUGAAUCAAGGGAACACCAAGGUGCUUGGCUCUGGCCUCGGGUAUCUGGAACACAUCUGUCAGCUCAUCGAGAAAAUUGGACAACUACAGGAGCACAACCUCCGGCUCCAAAAACAAGUGUGCAGCUUGCAGAAAGAGCAGAAGAUGUACCAGAUAAAGGAGGUAUCAAUCGCUGUUGUCUGACAUAGACAGACCUAAAGCCAAGUGCCAUCUCAUGUCAACAUGGCAGAGGAUGAGAACUGUCGUUCAUGGCAAUGGCAAGAAAGUAGAAUCAUCAUUCGACUCUAAUCUGCAUACUACACACGCAGAAAAUGCUGAUGAAGAAUCAUUCCUGCAGUCAAGAGAACUUGAAGCUGCAAAAGUCACAUCUUCUGGCACCCAGUCAAACAGGAUUGGUCCAUUUCUGGACUCAUUUGUGGAUGAGCCAUGAUUGAAUAAAGAUGUAAAUAUUAUGAAAUACUGGGAGACU